CUACGUGCCAGCAGCCGCGGUAAUACGUAGGUCCCGAGCGUUGUCCGGAUUUAUUGGGCGUAAAGCGAGCGCAGGCGGUUAGAUAAGUCUGAAGUUAAAGGCUGUGGCUUAACCAUAGUACGCUUUGGAAACUGUUUAACUUGAGUGCAAGAGGGGAGAGUGGAAUUCCAUGUGUAGCGGUGAAAUGCGUAGAUAUAUGGAGGAACACCGAUGGCGAAGGCAGGUCUCUGGGCUGUAACUGACGCUGAGAAGCGAAAGCAUGGGGAGCGAACAGGAUUAGAUACCCUGGUAGUCCAUGCCGUAAACGUUGGGCACUAGGUGUGGGGAACAUUCCACGUUUUCCGCGCCGUAGCUAACGCAUUAAGUGCCCCGCCUGGGGAGUACGGCCGCAAGGCUAAAACUCAAAGAAAUUGACGGGGGCCCGCACAAGCGGCGGAGCAUGCGGAUUAAUUCGAUGCAACGCGAAGAACCUUACCAAGGCUU
Molecule: ribosomal RNA, 483 nt
Filed under: uncultured bacterium
Lineage: Bacteria
Description: bacterial SSU rRNA
Rfam family: Bacterial small subunit ribosomal RNA
Source: RNAcentral